RNAcentral lists this ribosomal RNA (484 nucleotides) under uncultured bacterium. RNAcentral describes it as "partial 16S ribosomal RNA". It matches the Rfam family "Bacterial small subunit ribosomal RNA", at positions 30 to 507 of the family's 1533-position model. The record is from RNAcentral.
AUUGAACGCUGGCGGCAGGCCUAACACAUGCAAGUCGAGCGGAUGAAGGGAGCUUGCUCCUGGAUUCAGCGGCGGACGGGUGAGUAAUGCCUAGGAAUCUGCCUGGUAGUGGGGGAUAACGUCCGGAAACGGGCGCUAAUACCGCAUACGUCCUGAGGGAGAAAGUGGGGGAUCUUCCGACCUCACGCUAUCAGAUGAGCCUAGGUCGGAUUAGCUAGUUGGUGGGGUAAAGGCCUACCAAGGCGACGAUCCGUAACUGGUCUGAGAGGAUGAUCAGUCAAAAUGGAACUGAGACACGGUCCAGACUCCUACGGGAGGCAGCAGUGGGGAAUAUUGGACAAUGGGCGAAAGCCUGAUCCAGCCAUGCCGCGUGUGUGAAGAAGGUCUUCGGAUUGUAAAGCACUUUAAGUUGGGAGGAAGGGCAGUAAGUUAAUACCUUGCUGUUUUGACGUUACCAACAGAAUAAGCACCGGCUAACUUCGUG